AAGUGCGUGAAGUUAUUCCUCGCGGAAAUAAUUGUACGUACAAAUUUGUUUGGAGAAUUUUGUGAAUAAACGAGAGACUUUGGGGCGCUACUGGUGUUCGGUUGUUUAAAUUCUAUUACAAGCUAUUUCGGCCUUAUCUCGGUCUAGUUACGGUAUUGUAUAAAUAAGGAAAAAUUCGACAGGGAAGAAAAAGGAAGUUAAAAUGGCGAAGAGGCGAGGCACGACAACGAACCAACGAUCGAUUCGAUUUUGUCCAGUUUGGAUACCGGUGCUGGAGUCCGGUGAUGGUAACCGGCGACGGAGCCCGGUGAUGGAGCCCGGUGAUGGAGCCCGGUGGUGGAGCCCGGUGCUGGAGACCGGUAAUGAAGACCGGUGCUGGAGCCCGGCGAUGGUGCCCGGUGAUGGUGCCCGGGUGGUGAGCGGCGAGUGCUCCGGUUUGUUGACCGAUUAAGGUGCACGGUUUGGUUACCGAUUAUGGUGCCCGGUUUUGUGACCGACCAGAGGUGAAAAAAUGUGUCAACUCUCCAACCGGUGUUGGAGACAGAAUCAAUCCAAUAAAGGAAGGUCGUCGGAGACACAA
This is a long non-coding RNA of Amphibalanus amphitrite, 580 nucleotides long. RefSeq lists it as uncharacterized. Lineage: Eukaryota; Metazoa; Arthropoda; Thecostraca; Balanomorpha; Balanidae. The record is from RefSeq and is a predicted model, not a curated record. The transcript has 2 exons.